UGCCAUGUCAAGCAAUGCUCGGCGCACUGACCUUUGCCGUAUGUACGGAAUAUCCGUCAUGUCAAAUAACAUCACCGAUUUUUGGUUAGUCCCACUUAUACGUUUGCUCUUAUCCAUCAUAUCUGUACAUGUAGUAUGACAUGCCUUGUUCUAACUUUUAGCGCGACAACUGGAGGCGUCGAUCAAGGGGAGCACCAAUAUGGCGAGGAGAACGAUAAGAGCAACGCGGUAAAUGACAAGGCCAUCAAGAAUGAUGAGGUGGAUAGCGAUGCUGAGACCAUCGAUUAAGAGUUUGAAGC
RNAcentral lists this long non-coding RNA (299 nucleotides) under Triticum aestivum (bread wheat). RNAcentral describes it as "long non-coding RNA (TAES_LNC000037)". The record is from RNAcentral. Lineage: Eukaryota; Viridiplantae; Streptophyta; Magnoliopsida; Poales; Poaceae.